Molecule: long non-coding RNA, 2788 nt
Organism: Oreochromis niloticus (Nile tilapia)
Lineage: Eukaryota; Metazoa; Chordata; Actinopteri; Cichliformes; Cichlidae
Exons: 3
Source: RefSeq, a predicted model, not a curated record
UGCUGUGAGUCACAGUGCGCAGCAUAAAAGUCCUGUCACAUCGGACGCAGCAUGUGCUGCUAAUGCUAACUGCUAACUAAGCACGUAAACCUGUGACACAAAAAUCACAAAACUCGGACCACCACAGACUGUUUUCCUUCCUGGUGAUGAAGGAAAACGCUGGGCUGGCAUGAAAAGGGGCAUUUAUUCCCUUCAAGGACCUGAAGCUUCAUAAAGCACCCCUACAAUAGCCAAACCCAUCUGUUCUCUGAUUGGAUUGUUAAAUUUGUGAUUGACAUGACAUUGGCCAAUCAGAUGAAAGGAAGAAAAAUAGGGUCGUACUUGUAACUUGUAACUUGAGUGCAGAGUUUCACACGUAUUUCUUGGCUAAGUCCACAAACAAAUUCUUUUUACACAUACAAAUCCUGAUUUACAAGUACAAAAUAUUUAUGACCACAAUUUGAGCCCAUACAUCCACAGACUGCUGGAGGCAGGAGAAGCUGCCUACAGUCACCAGUCAGUGGAUCCACAGUAACAUCGACUCUGAGUUCAGCUGCUGAUCAUCAACUAACUGUUUCUGUCUCGUUCCCAGACUCUGAUCUCACAUAAAACGAAGCAGAUUUAUGCUGAAACUAAGCUGCACACAGCUGAUGUUAGCCAGGAAAACAGUACAGACUGCUAACGUUACCUUAACAUGGAGACGAUCGACUGCGCCACAACAUUCAAGAAAGCGAAAGUAAAAGUGACGUAAGGAAACGAUCAGAGAGGCGUUUGAGGGACGUUCAGAGUCAGGAACCUCAGAAACGGAUCAGGCUGGAGUUUAAUUCUGUUUUCAUCUUUAGAAACAUCUGGAAAUAGUUAUAAAAAUGCUGCGUAAUAAAGAAAAAUAGUGUAGAUUAGUUUGAGUUGUGUUUAGCUGAGCUGUGUCUUUAAUCAAAUCUAAACUGAAGAGUUCAUUUUGUGGAGGAGCAGCAAGACUUUCAGUGUGACUCUCAGGAGAAAGCCUCCCAAAUGUCUGUUGUCUUAAUAGUGGAAUUAUCUGGAAAAUGAACCAGUUCUUAUAAGCUGCUUUUCAAUAUGAGCAGUCAAAGCAUUUUAUACAGCGUGCUUCAUUCACACAAGCACUUCUUUUUCUAACAAUGACACUAUGAUGGAUGCAUUGGAGAGGAAGUCGGGGUUCCAUAUCUUGACCAAGGAUACCGUGGCGUGCAGACUGGAGCAGCCAGGGAUCAAACCUCCAACCUUCCAUGGCAACCAGGACCAUAAUGAACCCUGACUCCACAAGACACUCAGGAUCCACCUGCCCAGUAAGUCACCCACUAACUGUAACUAUCAGAGCCCUGACCUUCUGCAGAGACGAGUCACACUGAACACAGCAAGUGUCCCUGCUCUCAGAUACAAAAUCUGCCUUUAAAAGUUAAGAGUAAUGAAAUCAGCAGUACUGAUUCUAUAAUUUGUAGUCUCACACACUUGUGCAGAGCACUUUUGUUGUUUUGGUUCACAUCGGUUGAUAUUCUGCUGUAAACAACUAAUGAGAACAUUUUAUGAAAGCUUUGAGUGUCCAUCAGGAUCCUGUAGAAACAGCUUCCAUGUCAAAGAUCAAUAUUCUGAAUUCUGUUUUGAAAGAAAAAGAUUUCUAGAAAAUUCUCUAAAGAAUUCAACAUCUGUUUUGUUUUCUACUAUUUUUUAAAAAACUCACUCUAGCACAGAUUUCUUUAGCCAAACGUCUUUCUGUGUCUUCCAUACAAACUUUAAACAUGCAAACACUCAACACAGCAACACUGAAAGCAUUUGAGAGUAACUUUCAUUCAAAUGAAACUUUAUACACAAUUACAAUAAUGGAAAAAAUGACUAAAUAUUAAAACACUACAACCACUGAAGAAACAAAUAAAACCAAUCACAAUCAACAUCAAAAUAUGAUCAUAGAAAAAUAGAAGAGACAUAUCAUACAAUUCAUAUACGUUGAUGUGAUCUCUACGUUCAAAAAACCCAAUAACCUUCAAUCCUUCAUUUAAAUUACAUUUAAAUUUCAGCUGGCAGCUGUUGGAGUCAAAUUGUUAAAUGUUGUCAUUGUGUUACUUAAAUUUGUAAGUCUUAGUUCAAGCAGCUGAUCAAAGACAUUCCUUUGUCUCUGACCACCUCUGCAACCAGCCUGUUGGUGGGGAGGCUGUAGUGUUUUAUUAUAGGGACAUCCUAUCUGAAGGUUCUGUUUUCUUGGUUAAUAAGCUUCCUGCUUUUAUGACCCUUUUGGUGAGCAGGAGGUCACACAAACGCACCCCCAAACACAAAUACACACACACACAUUCAAGCACAUGCAUACACACACACAUACACACACAGUGCCUUAUCUUUUGUAACCAUAGGGGGGUUUUACAAUGGGAGGUGCUUGUGUGUACUGUAACUGUUUUCAAUAAAAGGCAGCAAGGAAGGCUGUUUAUUUGAUGCUGGCUAGCAGACAGGUGAGGAGCGUUCAGCUCCAAGAGCCUGGUUCCAACCAGCCUCCCUUGCUACAAGUAAAAACCGGUUAAAGAUGUUGUCUUGUUUCCUUGCUUGUCGUUAAUGAGAAUAAGUUUCUAAACCAGCAGGCCUGUGGAAGCACAGACCCAACAUUUAUUUGGUCCUUCCGAGCCGGAGCCCAACGCAUCGCGUCCACCGAGGAGAGGGAGAGGAGACACUGAAGUCUGCUAGCAGCCAGGAGGUCUGGGACGCCUGAUGAAAGCCCUGGUGCUUAAUUUUGUCGCCAGGCCGGUGAGUUAGCGUCUGAACUCCCCUCGGGUUGGAUGGCAAUUGACAGGAUCCAGAGACUCUU